UACGUAGGGAGCAAGCGUUGUCCGGAAUCAUUGGGCGUAAAGAGCGCGUAGGCGGCCGUGUAAGUCCGCUCUGAAAGUCAAAGGCUCAACCUUUGAAAGCGGGUGGAUACUGCACGGCUAGAGUCCGGAAGAGGCGAGUGGAAUUCCUGGUGUAGCGGUGGAAUGCGCAGAUAUCAGGAGGAACACCAACGGCGAAGGCAGCUCGCUGGGACGGUACUGACGCUGAGACGCGAAAGCGUGGGGAGCGAACAGG
Molecule: ribosomal RNA, 253 nt
Filed under: uncultured bacterium
Lineage: Bacteria
Description: partial 16S ribosomal RNA
Rfam family: Bacterial small subunit ribosomal RNA
Source: RNAcentral